GUGAGAUUCAUCCGAAUUACUGAUUUUUAACUCCAUCAUAUUAGACAAUGGUGGUACGUACUGCAUUCCGUGAUGCAGAAAUAUAGUAUUUUAAAAAAUUUGAUUCAUUUAACAGUUUUUUAAUUGCUCGGUUUGAUGGUUGUUUAACGUUCAGUGGCUAAUAGUUCAUGCAUGUUCGGGACGAUACAAUACAAUUUUGAAAACAGUUGUUUAUAAAAGACACAUUUGAUGCACCAGUCAAAAAAGGUUAAACAUUCUGUUAUUUGUGAAAAUUAUGAGGAAAAAUAAUGAUCCUGAUAAAAUACACAUUCCAAAAAAUAAAAUAACA
Molecule: long non-coding RNA, 328 nt
Filed under: Mytilus galloprovincialis (Mediterranean mussel)
Lineage: Eukaryota; Metazoa; Mollusca; Bivalvia; Mytilida; Mytilidae
Source: RNAcentral